Molecule: ribosomal RNA, 497 nt
Filed under: uncultured bacterium
Lineage: Bacteria
Description: partial 16S ribosomal RNA
Rfam family: Bacterial small subunit ribosomal RNA
Source: RNAcentral
GACGAACGCUUGCGGCGUGCCUAAUACAUGCAAGUAGAACGCUGAAGAGAGGAGCUUGCUCUUCUUGGAUGAGUUGCGAACGGGUGAGUAACGCGUAGGUAACCUGCCUUGUAGCGGGGGAUAACUAUUGGAAACGAUAGCUAAUACCGCAUAACAAUGGAUGACACAUGUCAUUUAUUUGAAAGGGGCAAUUGCUCCACUACAAGAUGGACCUGCGUUGUAUUAGCUAGUAGGUGAGGUAACGGCUCACCUAGGCGACGAUACAUAGCCGACCUGAGAGGGUGCUCGGCCAGGCUGGGGAUGAGACAAGGCCCAGACUGCUUGGGGAGGCAGCAGUAGGGAAUCUUCGGCAAUGGGGGCAACCCUGACCGGGCAACGCCGCGUGAGUGAAGAAGGUUGUCGGAUCGUAAAGCUCUGUUGUACGUCAAGAACGAGAGUGAGAGUGGAAAGUUCACACUGUGACGGUAGCUUACCAGAAAGGGACGGCUAACUACGUG